GAUUCCAUAGCUUAAUUCUAAAGUGAUAGUUUGAAGCGCUAUCGAUGCCUUUCGGCUGGGAUCA
Molecule: transfer RNA, 64 nt
Filed under: Proales similis
Lineage: Eukaryota; Metazoa; Rotifera; Eurotatoria; Ploima; Proalidae
Description: tRNA-Phe
Source: RNAcentral